AAAACGACUCUCGGCAACGGAUAUCUCGGCUCUCGCAUCGAUGAAGAACGUAGCGAAGUGCGAUACUUGGUGUGAAUUGCAGAAUCCCGUGAACCAUCGAGUCUUUGAACGCAAGUUGCGCCCCAAGCCGUUAGGCCGAGGGCACGCCUGCCUGGGUGUCACGC
RNAcentral lists this ribosomal RNA (164 nucleotides) under Acer opalus subsp. opalus. Its description in RNAcentral is "5.8S ribosomal RNA". It matches the Rfam family "5.8S ribosomal RNA". Rfam says of the family: 5.8S ribosomal RNA (5.8S rRNA) is a component of the large subunit of the eukaryotic ribosome. It is transcribed by RNA polymerase I as part of the 45S precursor that also contains 18S and 28S rRNA. Functionally, it is thought that 5.8S rRNA may be involved in ribosome translocation. Lineage: Eukaryota; Viridiplantae; Streptophyta; Magnoliopsida; Sapindales; Sapindaceae. The record is from RNAcentral.